AUGACNGGGUCAGUGGGGUCAUGGGUCACAUGGGUCACGGGGUCACAGGGUCAUGGGGUCACGGGUCAUUGGGGUCAAAGGGGUCACGGGGGUCACAGGGUCAUGGGUCACAGGGGUCACGGGGUCAUGGGGUCACGGGUCAUUGGGGUCAAAGGGGUCACGGGGGUCACAGGGGUCAUGGGUCACAGGGGGCACAAGGGGCACAGGGGGCACAGGUCACAGGGUCACAGGGUCAGUGGGGUCACGGGGUCACAGGGGUCACCAGUCACAGGUCACAGGGUCACGGGGUCAUGGGGGUCACAAGGUCAGUGGGGUCAUGGGUCACAGGGGGCACAGGUCAUGGGGGUCAGCGGGGUCACAGGUCACAGGGGUCACAGGGUCCGUGGGGUCAUGGGGUCGUGGGGCCAUGGGGGUCAGUGGGGUAGGUCCGUGGGGUCAGCGGGGUCACAGAGGUCACUGGUGUCACUGGGGUCAACGGGGUCACAGGUCACAGGGGUCACAGGGUCAGCGGGGUUGGUCCGUGGGGUCACCGGGGUCACAGGGCUCAUAGGGUCAGUGGGGUCACUGGGGUCAGUGGGGUCAGUGGGGUCAUGGGACAGUGGGGUCAGAGGUC
Numida meleagris (helmeted guineafowl) is the source of this 613-nucleotide long non-coding RNA. The record is from Ensembl. NCBI's taxonomy places the organism in Eukaryota, Metazoa, Chordata, Aves, Galliformes, Numididae.